GCAUCUCUUCCUGGCAGAAUUUUGAUGAGGUUUCCUUUUUUAUAAUGUCAUAUUCCCAUAUAUGAACUUAAAACAUGACAAUUUCUAGAGUUUUUGUUUGAUACUUUAGUUUGUCUUAUACAAGACAUAGUAAUUAUCUAAAUAAUAAUAUAUCAAAUUGGCCUUUACCCAAUGUUUCUGCAACAAAUCCAUUUGAUUUUCAAUAUUUGAUUUUUACUUAUAAAAUGAAUUAAAGUCGUGUUUGGAUGGUUUGAGCUUUUAUGAAUUGAGUCACAAGAGCCACUUGCAUGAGAUAGAGCCCACCUGGAAGUGAUUCUCACAUGAAUAUGUUUCUGUUUUAUGGAAAGAUAUUUUGAACGGUGUAAAGUUUAACAGUACCUUCUGAAUAUGUUUCAGGUUUGUGGAAAUUAUGGCUCCUAUCUUUUCUCGAAAAGCUUGGCGGUGUGUAUGGAACAUGAUUCAGGUAUAUUGAGAUGAUUUCAUUGGAGCAAUUCUUGACAACAUUUGUAGUUGAGGCCUUUAGAAUGGAAGAAUGUAUUUCACUAAUUUUUGUGUACAUUUCAUGUUUUUUAUUUAGUGAUAAAGGAAUCUAAAUUGGGCAUAAAUUAUGUUGUAAUAUGAUUUCUUAAGCCUAGACUAGUAGACUAAAUAUUGUAAUUACAUUUUGAGUAAUUAAUAAAAAUUUAUUUAUGUUACCUUA
This is a long non-coding RNA of Humulus lupulus (European hop), 700 nucleotides long. RefSeq lists it as uncharacterized. The transcript has 2 exons. Lineage: Eukaryota; Viridiplantae; Streptophyta; Magnoliopsida; Rosales; Cannabaceae. The record is from RefSeq and is a predicted model, not a curated record.